RNAcentral lists this ribosomal RNA (323 nucleotides) under uncultured bacterium. RNAcentral's name for it is "partial 16S ribosomal RNA". It matches the Rfam family "Bacterial small subunit ribosomal RNA", at positions 355 to 669 of the family's 1533-position model. The record is from RNAcentral.
UGGGGAAUAUUGCACAAUGGGCGCAAGCCUGAUGCAGCCAUGCCGCGUGUGUGAAGAAGGCCUUCGGGUUGUAAAGCACUUUCAGCGAGGAGGAAGGGUAGUGUGUUAAUAGCACAUUGCAUUGACGUUACUCGCAGAAGAAGCACCGGCUAACUCCGUGCCAGCAGCCGCGGUAAAUACGGAGGGUGCAAGCGUUAAUCGGAAUUACUGGGCGUAAAGCGCACGCAGGCGGUUUGUUAAGUCAGAUGUGAAAUCUCCGCGCUUAACGUGGGAACUGCAUUUGAAACUGGCAAGCUAGAGUCUUGUAGAGGGGGGUGAGAAUU